Molecule: non-coding RNA, 107 nt
Organism: Gossypium hirsutum (cotton)
Lineage: Eukaryota; Viridiplantae; Streptophyta; Magnoliopsida; Malvales; Malvaceae
Source: Rfam
AACCCAUGGUGAGGGCACCUUCUCAAUAAAUCCUUAUACCUCUUCCAUGCAUCAUAGAAAGUCUCUAAAUCCAUUUUUACAAAAGAAAAGAUAUCAUUCCUCAAUUU